Non-coding RNA from Notechis scutatus (mainland tiger snake), 819 nucleotides. The record is from RefSeq and is a predicted model, not a curated record. NCBI's taxonomy places the organism in Eukaryota, Metazoa, Chordata, Lepidosauria, Squamata, Elapidae.
UUGCCAAAAUUGUUUCCUAUUUCUAAACUCCAAGCAAACAGUUUGCCACACAGAGUGGAAGCUAUGGCACUGAUCAGAGUGCUAGCAAGCCUUCUGAUACUACAGCUUUCUUACGGUAAGAGCCUGGACAGUGGAGCAAAAGUACGGCAAGCUCAAACUCUGGACCAAAUGCUUCUAAAAGCCCAUCCUUUUUAGAAGCUAAUCUGAACUUUUCUUAGUUCAACUGAUUAGCAUAAUCUGACUGGCAGUGAUACAGUUAAGUUAUUGAGCAGCAGAGAAGCAGAGCAAAAUAUGCUAUAACUUUUGAGAAGACCAGAUGCCUUAGAUCUCAGCCAUCAGAAUGGCAGAAUCGUGCGAUUUAACCUGUUUCCAGCAUUGCUGGAGAUGUAAAGAAUAGUAUUUUUGUAUAUCUGAGGCUUCAAAGUUAAAUGUCCCCUUUUUUUUUGUGUACUUCAUUUCCCUUGAAUGGUAAACUUGAAAGCCGGGACUUAUUGUUUAUGUUUACCAUAUGUUCUGAUUUGGCCAAGAUGGUCCCAGUUUUUGGCUCCAGUAUAAGCACCCUAACUGGUAUGCAAAAUGUCCUGGAAAGUAGUGCUGUACAGACCUGCAAAAGGGGACUCAGAUUUAGUCACGUAUUAAUAACUAGUUCCCCAAUGUGCAGGGAACUCAAUGAAAGGAACUAAGCAUCUAUCCCCAGCUUUUCUUGUGCAAAUUUACAGAUUAUGGCCUUUUGUCUUGAAGAUGUGUGGAGUUCAAUUCCCAAAAUUCACCAUGCUGUCAGGGGAAUUGUAGGAAUUAAAAUCCAUAUAUCUUCAAGUU